RNAcentral lists this ribosomal RNA (386 nucleotides) under uncultured bacterium. RNAcentral's name for it is "bacterial SSU rRNA". It matches the Rfam family "Bacterial small subunit ribosomal RNA", at positions 531 to 916 of the family's 1533-position model. The record is from RNAcentral.
GGGGCAAGCGUUGUCCGGAAUUAUUGGGCGUAAAGCGCGCGCAGGCGGCGAUUUAAGUCUUCUGUUUAAUGCAUGGGCUCAACCCGUGUUCGCAGAGGAAACUGGGUGGCUGGAGUGCAGGAGAGGAAAGUGGAAUUCCACGUGUAGCGGUGAAAUGCGUAGAGAUGUGGAGGAACACCUGUGGCGAAGGCGACUUUCUGGCCUGUAACUGACGCUGAGGCGCGAAAGCGUGGGGAGCAAACAGGAUUAGAUACCCUGGUAGUCCACGCCGUAAACGAUGAGUGCUAGGUGUCGGGGGUUUCGAUACCCUCGGUGCCGAAGUUAACACAGUAAGCACUCCGCCUGGGGAGUACGCUCGCAAGAGUGAAACUCAAAGGAAUUGACGG